Cotesia glomerata is the source of this 152-nucleotide long non-coding RNA. RefSeq lists it as uncharacterized. Lineage: Eukaryota; Metazoa; Arthropoda; Insecta; Hymenoptera; Braconidae. The record is from RefSeq and is a predicted model, not a curated record. The transcript has 3 exons.
UUCAGACAUGAACAGGCAUGGACAGGCUUGAUCAGGUCUGAUCAGGUCUGAGCGUAUUUAACGGUUCAGACAUUAACAGACAAGAGCAGGCAUGAACAGGCUUGAUCAGGUCUGAUCAGGUCUGAGCGUAUUUAACGGUUCAGACAUGAACA